UGUUUUUGUUUUUGUUUUUUAAAUAACAUUCAGAAAGAUGUAAGGUUUUGUUUUGUUUUCAGAAGAUGAAAAGACUUGGUUUUGGAUCCUGAUACUUUAAAAAGUAAGCUGAUUAUAUGUCAAUCAUAGCCAAGAGAAGUGAUCAGCAUUAUAAGAUCCUUAGGAUCUUUUGUUCAUAAUUUAACAAAUAAGCCCCAGUUUCUUUUCUUGUGACUGUAGAAAUGCAAUCUCAAUGUGAUAAACUCAUGCUGAGUUAUAGAAGCCAUGCAAGCACCACUUUCAUUUACCUUGUAUGAUGUUGCUUCCCAGCUUGUAAUAUUCUCCUAAGAUGAAAUGACUAUGCUUAUUGUUCUUACUACACUAACCAUACAUAUUUUAAGAGUUUUUUGUUUGGCUUUAUUUUCCCAAGUAUUAGAUUAUUACACCUACCUUAGACAAAUUCUUUGAAUUUCUGAAUUACCAUUUUUCACUGUUUCAUUGCUUAUAUAAAAAAUUUUGUGGGCUCUUAAUUAUCUGUUUAUAUAAAAAACUUGACCAUAUCUUGUAGCUUAAUGGAAGAACAUUAACUUGAUUAAUGUUAGAUUUUCUUUUUAAAGACAUUGUUUCAUAUAUUCAAUAGUUUAUCAUUCUUACGUACAUUAAACAUCCUCUUUGCAAUUUUAUGCAAAGUAUUACCUAGAAUAUUUUUUUUCUGAGGCAAUGCAAAAAUGAAUUUGAGGCUGUUAUAUUGGUGAAUUCAAGUUGAGAACACAGUUUACUAUGGUUUAAGAAAAUUCUUGUUGAAUCUGAAUACUUUAUUGGACUUUUUGUUUUAUGGGCCUAGGACAUUGUUGUAUCUACUUUCUUUGGGAAAGAAUGGAGUUAAGUAUUAAGCAUAGUUGGUAUGUAUAGAAUCGUAUCAAUUACAUAGACUUUAAAAAGCCUUAUUAAAAAUUAAAUAUAGAAGUUACUCAUGCUUUGAAAGUAUAGAUGAUUGAAGUAGUAUCAAGCUCUAUUUAUUAGGCAUUAUAUAAAACAUGGUUGAAUUUCAUUCUAAAACUCUACCUUCCUGUUGCUUCCUCAGCCUGUUAAUUAAAUUAUAUGUUGUCGCUUUGGACACCAUCUCUAAAAUCUAUAUGAUGUAAUUCUAUUCAAAGUUCUG
Long non-coding RNA from Pipistrellus kuhlii (Kuhl's pipistrelle), 1141 nucleotides. RefSeq lists it as uncharacterized. NCBI's taxonomy places the organism in Eukaryota, Metazoa, Chordata, Mammalia, Chiroptera, Vespertilionidae. The transcript has 2 exons. The record is from RefSeq and is a predicted model, not a curated record.